RNAcentral lists this ribosomal RNA (393 nucleotides) under uncultured Spiroplasma sp. Its description in RNAcentral is "bacterial SSU rRNA". It matches the Rfam family "Bacterial small subunit ribosomal RNA", at positions 9 to 408 of the family's 1533-position model. The record is from RNAcentral. Lineage: Bacteria; Bacillati; Mycoplasmatota; Mollicutes; Entomoplasmatales; Spiroplasmataceae.
GAGUUUGAUCCUGGCUCAGGAUUAACGCUGGCGGCAUGCCUAAUACAUGCAAGUCGAACGGAGUAGCAAUACUUAGUGGCGAACGGGUGAGUAACACGUAUCUAAUCUACCAUUUAGUGGGGAAUAACUGUUGGAAACGACAGCUAAUACCGCAUAAUAUUGCUGGAUAAUUUCCAGUAAUGAAAGGAGCUUUCAAGCUCCGCUGAUUGAUGAGGAUGCGGCGCAUUAGCUAGUUGGUAGGGUAAUGGCCUACCAAGGCAAUGAUGCGUAGCCGAUCUGAGAGGAUGAACGGCCACAUUGGGACUGAGACACGGCCCAAACUUCUACGGAAGGCAGCAGUAGGGAAUUUUUCACAAUGGGCGAAAGCCUGAUGGAGCAAUGCCGCGUGACUGA